GUCUACUGCCAUAUCACCCUGAACACGCCCGAUCUCGUCUGAUGUUGGAAGCUAAGCAGGGUCGGGCCUGGUUAGUACUUGGAUGGAAGAAU
RNAcentral lists this ribosomal RNA (92 nucleotides) under Cavia aperea (Brazilian guinea pig). The record is from RNAcentral. Lineage: Eukaryota; Metazoa; Chordata; Mammalia; Rodentia; Caviidae.